This 446-nucleotide ribosomal RNA is filed under the name uncultured organism. RNAcentral's name for it is "partial 16S ribosomal RNA". It matches the Rfam family "Bacterial small subunit ribosomal RNA", at positions 333 to 796 of the family's 1533-position model. The record is from RNAcentral.
ACACUCCUGCGGGAGGCAGCAGUGGGGAAUAUUGGACAAUGGGCGCAAGCCUGAUCCAGCCAUGCCGCGUGAGUGAUGAAGGCCCUAGGGUUGUAAAGCUCUUUCACCGGUGAAGAUAAUGACGGUAACCGGAGAAGAAGCCCCGGCUAACUUCGUGCCAGCAGCCGCGGUAAUACGAAGGGGGCUAGCGUUGUUCGGAUUUACUGGGCGUAAAGCGCACGUAGGCGGACUAUUAAGUCAGGGGUGAAAUCCCGGGGCUCAACCCCGGAACUGCCUUUGAUACUGGUUGUCUUGAGUUCGAGAGAGGUGAGUGGAAUUCCGAGUGUAGAGGUGAAAUUCGUAGAUAUUCGGAGGAACACCAGUGGCGAGGGCGGCUCACUGGCUCGAUACUGACGCUGAGGUGCGAAAGCGUGGGGAGCAAACAGGAUUAGAUACCCGUGUAGUCC